AAUGAACGCUGGCGGCAGGCCUAAAACAUGCAAGUCGAACGGUAACAGGUCUUCGGAUGCUGACGAGUGGCGCACGGGUGAGUAACACGUGGGAAUAUGCCUUUUGGUACGGAACAACAGUUGGAAACGACUGCUAAUACCGUAUGGUCCCUUCGGGGUAAAGAUUUAUCGCCAAAAGAUUAGCCCGCGUUGGAUUAGCUAGUUGGUAGGGUAAUGGCCUACCAAGGCUACGAUCUAUAGCUGGUCUGAGAGGAUGAUCAGCCACACUGGAACUGAGACACGGUCCAGACUCCUACGGGAGGCAGCAGUUAGGAAUAUUGGACAAUGGGCGCAAGCCUGAUCCAGCCAUGCCGCGUGAGUGAUGAAGGCCUUCGGGUUGUAAAGCUCUUUAGCCGACGAAUAUAAUGACUGUAGUCGGAAAAUAAGCCCCGGCUAACUUCGUG
Molecule: ribosomal RNA, 443 nt
Filed under: uncultured organism
Description: bacterial SSU rRNA
Rfam family: Bacterial small subunit ribosomal RNA
Source: RNAcentral